GCCUUCGGGGUGUAAUGGUCAGCACACUGAGCCGGUAUUUCAGAGGUCCGCGGUUCGAUCCCCGGCGAAGGCA
Molecule: non-coding RNA, 73 nt
Organism: Stegodyphus mimosarum
Lineage: Eukaryota; Metazoa; Arthropoda; Arachnida; Araneae; Eresidae
Source: Rfam